CACGUAGGUGGCAAGCGUUAUCCGGAAUUACUGGGCGUAAAGGGUCCGCAGGUGGGAGGACUUGUCCGGUGUGACAGCGCCCGGCUCAACUGGGCGUGGCCAUUGGAAACGGUCGUUCUUGAGGGACGGAGAGGGGUGCGGAAUUCCGGGUGUAGUGGUGGAAUGCGUAGAGAUCCGGAGGAACACCAGCGGCGCAAGCGGCACCCUGGCUGCUCCCUGACACUGAGGGACGAAAGCGUGGGGAGCAAACAGG
This 253-nucleotide ribosomal RNA is filed under the name uncultured bacterium. RNAcentral's name for it is "partial 16S ribosomal RNA". It matches the Rfam family "Bacterial small subunit ribosomal RNA", at positions 524 to 776 of the family's 1533-position model. The record is from RNAcentral.